AAUAGAUUUCUUGUUUUUGUUUUUCUUCUCAUACAUAACCAUCAAUUUUUCCCAUAGGGUAACGCUUCUUUUAAUCUACUUUUACUAGCCUAAUCAAUUUUGUUUUUGGUACAUUAGGUAGGAGAUAAAAAUGAAGAUGGUCGGAUUCGAAUUUUCUAUCUUACGUGUUGUUUUAAACUUUUUUAAUUACUAAAUUAAGAAAUUAAAGACAUAGCGUGCAAGAAAAACAUGGAAAACUUCAACCUACAUUGACAAAUUUGCCAACUGUUUAUCUUAAUUUUAAUCCAAGUUUUUUACUUUGCUACUUGUUAGCUUCUCACAUAUAAUUAAGUUACCAAUCCUUACCCAAAAAUAUUGUUGGAUUAUCCUUUAUAAUUGUCAAUGAUUAAGCCAAAUUAAAGGGGCAUGGCACUAUUAAUUUAUUACAAUUAAAAAGCUUAUGAUUUUGGGAGUUCAAUUAAAACAUUGAAAAUUGCCAAAUCAGGAAAUGUAGACGCAUAAGAAGUAAAAAAGGCAACAAAUAGGAAAAGAUCAAACUGGGGACGGCUGAACCAAAUAUAUAACUUAUGUACAUUGCAUGUGGAUUAGGUGCAUGACUUGAUUUACUGAUUAAGUCGCCUUCAGUUUCUCACUAAUAUAUUGUUUCCAUAUAUAAUCUACAGCUUUCUCUUUUUUUAAAUUUGGUAGACGGAUUUUCAACAUCUAGUGACGAAUCCUUUUGCUUUUUCUCCUUUAGUUUCUCAUUUAUGGCUCCUUUUCAAACUUGAACACGUUGAUUGAAUGAUGGCCAAAGCCCAAAAGUUCAUCUAGUGACCCUAAUGCUGGCUAGCGCCCUUUCUUUUCCGUGACUCGCCCGAGGCUUCUUUCAAAGAAAUUUCUACGUCAAAGAAGGAGAAAGAAAAAGGGCGUCGGCAUAAAUUUGAAAGUUGAUUCGAUCCGAAGACUAAAUGCUAUUUUGUUUGGUAUGGUACCGUACGGUAAUAUGUAUAUAUCAACUUUAUGAAGCUUUUUUCUUUUGAAUUUUCCUCUUUAACCAAACUCGUGUGGUUGGACUUGGAAUUCAACAAACAGUGCCAAGAAAUUUCCAUGCAUGGGCGUCGCCGUAUUGAGAAAUUCGCAAAAUAGAAGGAAGAAAAAGAAACAGCAAAGUAAGAGGUUUCUGUUCAAACUAAUGGCGCCCAAUGUAAGAAGAUUAAGGAAAAGGGAUAGCAUAUUAGGAUUAUUCCCACGAUAAACAAGAUUCCAUUAAAAAUUUUACAAGAAAAAAGUUGCGUUUUAUUCUUGGCAAGUUUAGAUUAGCACAGCUUUAAAACGUGGGAAUAAACAAAAAUUUUAAAUAUAGGUUUUAACGAUGUGAAGCCAAUGAUGUAAUUGAGUUAAGUCAAAUUGAUAUAAUGAGAAGUUUAAGUUUAAAUUUGAUUCAAAAUUUAUUAUUCGAAAUUCGAUUUGAAUUCGAUCAAACUUUAAUUUUUAAAUUUGAAUUUGAUUUAAGAUAAAAAUUAAAAUUUUCGAAUUUGCUCGAUUAAACUCGUUUAUUGAAAAAAAAAUUGAUUGUUAUAUUCGACUUCAAACUCGAUUAUUUGUAUUUAAAUUCAAAUUCAC
This 1602-nucleotide long non-coding RNA is filed under the name Durio zibethinus. Its description in RNAcentral is "long non-coding RNA (DZIB_LNC001584)". The record is from RNAcentral. Lineage: Eukaryota; Viridiplantae; Streptophyta; Magnoliopsida; Malvales; Malvaceae.